UACGGGGGGGGCAAGCGUUGUUCGGAAUUACUGGGCGUAAAGCGCGUGUAGGCGGCCCUUCAAGUCGAGUGUGAAAGCUCCAGGCUUAACCUGGGAAUUGCGCUCGAUACUGUUGAGCUAGAGUGUGGAAGGGGCUACUGGAAUUCCGUGUGUAGCGGUGAAAUGCGUAGAGAUCCGGAGGAACACCAGCGGCGAAGGCGGCGUCCUGGACUGGUACUGACGCUCAGGAGCGAAAGCGUGGGGAGCGAUCCGG
This 253-nucleotide ribosomal RNA is filed under the name uncultured bacterium. RNAcentral's name for it is "partial 16S ribosomal RNA". It matches the Rfam family "Bacterial small subunit ribosomal RNA", at positions 524 to 776 of the family's 1533-position model. The record is from RNAcentral.